RNAcentral lists this long non-coding RNA (739 nucleotides) under Vulpes vulpes (red fox). Its description in RNAcentral is "lncRNA (ENSVVUG00000007992.1)". Lineage: Eukaryota; Metazoa; Chordata; Mammalia; Carnivora; Canidae. The record is from RNAcentral.
CUGUUCUUUGUGACCUCACUCACCCUCAUCACUGAGAAAACAGAAGAUUUGAGAUGUUUGGGAGAGCAGGAAUUGAUAAGAAAGAAUGAGUGAUGAUAAAAGAAUAGUAAAAGAGCAAAAGAAAGGAGAGAGGAAGAAAGAGAAUGGAAAAAAGUGAAGUUUUAAGUCAAACAUUAAUUUUCCUCUAUUUCAGUUCUCAUUAAUCUAUUAAAUUAUUUUAUUAAGUUUUUAUGAUAUCCUCAAGAUUAAUGAACUUUGUAAUGAACAACAACUCAACUUUCCUUGCUGGAAAAUGAAAUCCAAACAAGAAUGACAAUGUCAGAACAUUUUUCUUUUUUCUUUUCAGAAUAAUACCACAGCCACUAUUAUCCAUAAGGAUUUUAGAAGAACCAUUGUCUAUCAGAGAAAAAAGCGACACAGCAAAAUGACCUCCCAAGAAGUUUUAGGUACUGUCUGUUCUCAGUUGUUCAGAUUUCUACAGCAAUAUCCUAUCUGUAAUUUUAAAUGAAAUUACUACUGCUACGACAAGCAUAUGGAAAAGCUUCUAUCCAGAGAAAACAAAAGGAACUGUUGCUUCUGCGAAUGUUAGGAAGAUAAAAAUUUUGAAGGUACUCGACAUAGGCAAAUUCACCUGCCAAUUAGAUCAUCUGAGAAUCCUAAAAUGUGAGUGGUGGGGUAAAAUGUAUGAACUUUUUAUUCUUGUGUUAAUUUCACCUCCUUUCUGAAGAUAUUGCAAAAG